Molecule: long non-coding RNA, 217 nt
Filed under: Lathyrus oleraceus (garden pea)
Lineage: Eukaryota; Viridiplantae; Streptophyta; Magnoliopsida; Fabales; Fabaceae
Description: Pisum sativum (pea) long non-coding RNA (PSAT_LNC019021)
Source: RNAcentral
AUUCUUGUCUAUCGGAUUGCUACCCAUUUGGUCAGAUCUUUUCAACUCUAAAAUUUUAAUUUUGUACAUAGGAUAGUCUCUUCAUCUCUUCCCCAUUUCUUUAAUUUCAAAAAUCUCUCCCUCCAUUUUUCAAAAUCAUCUUUGUGUGAACUUUUGUUCUAAACUUUGACCACUUUUGCAAAAAGAUAGAAACUUUGGCCUUAUGCCAUUGCGUUUU